GGGGCUGAUUCUGGAUUCGACGGGAUUUGCGAAACCCAAGGUGCAUGCCGAGGGGCGGUUGGCCUCGUAAAAAGCCGCAAAAAAUAGUCGCAAACGACGAAAACUACGCUUUAGCAGCUUAAUAACCUGCUUAGAGCCCUCUCUCCCUAGCCUCCGCUCUUAGGACGGGGAUCAAGAGAGGUCAAACCCAAAAGAGAUCGCGUGGAAGCCCUGCCUGGGGUUGAAGCGUUAAAACUUAAUCAGGCUAGUUUGUUAGUGGCGUGUCCGUCCGCAGCUGGCAAGCGAAUGUAAAGACUGACUAAGCAUGUAGUACCGAGGAUGUAGGAAUUUCGGACGCGGGUUCAACUCCCGCCAGCCAA
RNAcentral lists this transfer-messenger RNA (359 nucleotides) under Escherichia coli. It matches the Rfam family "transfer-messenger RNA". Rfam says of the family: Bacterial tmRNA, also known as 10Sa RNA or SsrA, is named for its dual tRNA and mRNA-like properties. Its role is to liberate the mRNA from a stalled ribosome. The record is from RNAcentral. Lineage: Bacteria; Pseudomonadati; Pseudomonadota; Gammaproteobacteria; Enterobacterales; Enterobacteriaceae. RNAcentral also lists the same sequence under 1 other name.